CUUAAGGGAGUGGGGCGGGCUAUAAUGCAAGUCGUACGCUUCUUUUUCCACCGGAGCUUGCUCCACCGGAAAAAGAGGAGUGGCGAACGGGUGAGUAACACGUGGGUAACCUGCCCAUCAGAAGGGGAUAACACUUGGAAACAGGUGCUAAUACCGUAUAACAAUCGAAACCGCAUGGUUUUGAUUUGAAAGGCGCUUUCGGGUGUCGCUGAUGGAUGGACCCGCGGUGCAUUAGCUAGUUGGUGAGGUAACGGCUCACCAAGGCCACGAUGCAUAGCCGACCUGAGAGGGUGAUCGGCCACAUUGGGACUGAGACACGGCCCAAACUCCUACGGGAGGCAGCAGUAGGGAAUCUUCGGCAAUGGACGAAAGUCUGACCGAGCAACGCCGCGUGAGUGAAGAAGGUUUUCGGAUCGUAAAACUCUGUUGUUAGAGAAGAACAAGGAUGAGAGUAACUGUUCAUCCCUUGACGGUAUCUAACCAGAAAGCCACGGCUAACUACGUGCCAGCAGCCGCGGUAAUACGUAGGUGGCAAGCGAAAAA
RNAcentral lists this ribosomal RNA (543 nucleotides) under Enterococcus faecium. RNAcentral describes it as "bacterial SSU rRNA". It matches the Rfam family "Bacterial small subunit ribosomal RNA", at positions 39 to 536 of the family's 1533-position model. The record is from RNAcentral. Lineage: Bacteria; Bacillati; Bacillota; Bacilli; Lactobacillales; Enterococcaceae.